AUUGAACGCUGGCGGCAGGCCUAACACAUGCAAGUCGAGCGGAUGAAGGGAGCUUGCUCCUGGAUUCAGCGGCGGACGGGUGAGUAAUGCCUAGGAAUCUGCCUGGUAGUGGGGAUAACGUCCGGAAACGGGCGCUAAUACCGCAUACAUCCUGAGGGAGAAAGUGGGGGAUCUUCGGACCUCACGCUAUCAGAUGAGCCUAGGUCGGAUUAGCUAGUUGGUGGGGUAAAGGCCUACCAAGGCGACGAUCCGUAACUGGUCUGAGAGGAUGAUCAGUCACACUGGAACUGAGACACGGUCCAGACUCCUACGGGAGGCAGCAGUGGGGAAUAUUGGACAAUGGGCGAAAGCCUGAUCCAGCCAUGCCGCGUGUGUGAAGAAGGUCUUCGGAUUGUAAAGCACUUUAAGUUGGGAGGAAGGGCAGUAAGUUAAUACCUUGCUGUUUUGACGUUACCAACAGAAUAAGCACCGGCUAACUUCGUG
RNAcentral lists this ribosomal RNA (483 nucleotides) under uncultured bacterium. Its description in RNAcentral is "partial 16S ribosomal RNA". It matches the Rfam family "Bacterial small subunit ribosomal RNA", at positions 30 to 507 of the family's 1533-position model. The record is from RNAcentral.